Molecule: non-coding RNA, 110 nt
Organism: Acanthosepion pharaonis
Lineage: Eukaryota; Metazoa; Mollusca; Cephalopoda; Sepiida; Sepiidae
Source: the annotation of a GenBank genome assembly
CGGCCACUCACGUCAAAACUCUGGUUCCCGUACGAUCAGCGAAGUUAAGCAUAGUCGAGCUUGGUUAAUACCUACAUUGGUGACCGUUUGCGAAUAUCAGGUGCUGUAAG